This is a long non-coding RNA of Erinaceus europaeus (western European hedgehog), 217 nucleotides long. RefSeq lists it as uncharacterized. The transcript has 3 exons. Lineage: Eukaryota; Metazoa; Chordata; Mammalia; Eulipotyphla; Erinaceidae. The record is from RefSeq and is a predicted model, not a curated record.
UUCGCCCUUUUAAAUCCUCUCUGGGAUAGCGGCAGCCGAUUCUGUGUGAGUCUCACGUUCCCCAGUGACAUUCUGCUACUUGUGCUGGCUUCCUGUCUGUGCCAGUGGGGCAAUUCAGGCAAUAUGUCAACCCUUGUGUUGUGUGUAGUGUUGUGUAGUUUUGUGUUGUUGUGUACUUGUGUAGUGGUGUUGUGUAGUUAUUGUUGUUGUGUAGUUG